CAUCAGAAGUGGGCCAAGUGCCAUGUAAGGGUGGGGGGCAUGUCUCCGAGUAGGGCAUGCUAACCACGAGCUCAGUGUCAUUGGCACCCUGCAGGUGGUCAUGGGCAGCAUAGAGGUUGAGUACAAUACACAUUGGUGUUUACUGAUCAUCUUCUGACCGUUGGAGCUACUGCUGUGAUAUGGAGUCCUCUGUCACAGUUUGAACAGCACACUGUGACAUCAGAUCAGAUCUGGAACAUGCCUUCUGACAAUCCUCUUUUGAAGACCCUUACUUAAACUUCAAGGCCAGUGGAUGGUGGCAAGUUAAAUUUAAGACAAGCCUUGGGUGCCAGGUAGGCUCUCCAUCAGGGCGCAUUAGCUGACCUCGUGUAGCUGCUGUGCUGCUUAGUGAAAGUACUCCUGCUCCUGUGUGCUGUAAGAAGAUUCUGUUCCUACUGGCAUUUUCAUGUUCUUCUGAACGUUAUCUCUGCUUAAUGAAAUAAGAAUCACUGGAUAAAUUAUGGGAAAGUAUGUUGUUACCUGUAGUUUAGUUAUUUAAGCUCACCCAUAUUUUCCAGAGCCUUUACAAAAUGAAUACAUCUUUUUAAUUUCAUAUUUAAAUCUUGUAAUAGUUCUGACUCCUCCAAACAUCAAAUCAUACUUAAAGAUCAUUUUGUUCACUUAGACUCAAGGCAUAUCUGAAUAUCUGUUUAAAAAUGUUCAGUUAUAUUGUGUCAUAUUGACACAUUCACUUUAAUUUCAGUUAAAUUUCAACUAAAGAUAGUAUCAACUAUACUGGAAUGAUGAAAUACAGUGCACAUAUAUGGCGAUUUAAUGUCAAUUUUUUCAAUAUAGUGAUCAUAAAGGAGUAUAUAUAGAGAGAUGCUUCAUGUAACUUGUUGAUAUAUUUUUCAUGUGGAAAGCAGAACUGAGUCCUAGAAAUAAAAUGGGAUAAAAGAAAUCA
This 943-nucleotide long non-coding RNA is filed under the name Anser brachyrhynchus (Pink-footed goose). RNAcentral describes it as "lncRNA (ENSABRG00000004551.1)". The record is from RNAcentral. Lineage: Eukaryota; Metazoa; Chordata; Aves; Anseriformes; Anatidae.